AACCCAGUGUGACUCGUCACACUAUCAUUAACUGAAUCCAUAGGUUAAUGAGGCGAACCGGGGGAACUGAAACAUCUAAGUACCCCGAGGAAAAGAAAUCAACCGAGAUUCCCCCAGUAGCGGCGAGCGAACGGGGAGGAGCCCAGAGCCUGAAUCAGCAUGUGUGUUAGUGGAAGCGUCUGGAAAGGCGCGCGAUACAGGGUGACAGCCCCGUACACAAAAGCGCAUGUGCUGUGAGCUCGAUGAGUAGGGCGGGACACGUGGUAUCCUGUCUGAAUAUGGGGGGACCAUCCUCCAAGGCUAAAUACUCCUGACUGACCGAUAGUGAACCAGUACCGUGAGGGAAAGGCGAAAAGAACCCCGGCGAGGGGAGUGAAAAAGAACCUGAAACCGUGUACGUACAAGCAGUGGGAGCCCCACCACCAAAGCAUUUGCUGUACCGCGUUGACGGAGCGAAGCGACGUCAAACCGAUAAAACAGCAGUGUAAAGUGAGCCGCAGGGCGCUUUGCGCGACAGCGCAAAGGCAGGCGGUUUCGCGUAGCGAAAGCGAAUGCUUUGGGGUGGGGUGACUGCGUACCUUUUGUAUAAUGGGUCAGCGACUUAUAUUCUGUAGCAAGGUUAACCGAAUAGGGGAGCCGGAGGGAAACCGAGUCUUAAUUGGGCGUUAAGUUGCAGGGUAUAGACCCGAAACCCGGUGAUCUAGCCAUGGGCAGGUUGAAGGUUGGGUAACACUAACUGGAGGACCGAACCGACUAAUGUUGAAAAAUUAGCGGAUGACCUGUGGCUGGGGGUGAAAGGCCAAUCAAACCGGGAGAUAGCUGGUUCUCCCCGAAAGCUAUUUAGGUAGCGCCUCGUGAAUUCAUCUCCGGGGGUAGAGCACUGUUUCGGCUAGGGGGCCAUCCCGGCUUACCAACCCGAUGCAAACUGCGAAUACCGGAGAAUGUUAUCACGGGAGACACACGGCGGGUGCUAACGUCCGUCGUGAAGAGGGAAACAACCCAGACCGCCAGCUAAGGUCCCAAAGUCAUGGUUAAGUGGGAAACGAUGUGGGAAGGCCCAGACAGCCAGGAUGUUGGCUUAGAAGCAGCCAUCAUUUAAAGAAAGCGUAAUAGCUCACUGGUCGAGUCGGCCUGCGCGGAAGAUGUAACGGGGCUAAACCAUGCACCGAAGCUGCGGCAGCGACACUGUGUGUUGUUGGGUAGGGGAGCGUUCUGUAAGCCUGUGAAGGUGUGUCGUGAGGCAUGCUGGAGGUAUCAGAAGUGCGAAUGCUGACAUAAGUAACGAUAAAGCGGGUGAAAAGCCCGCUCGCCGGAAGACCAAGGGUUCCUGUCCAACGUUAAUCGGGGCAGGGUGAGUCGACCCCUAAGGCGAGGCCGAAAGGCGUAGUCGAUGGGAAACGGGUUAAUAUUCCCGUACUUGGUGUUACUGCGAAGGGGGGACGGAGAAGGCUAUGUUGGCCGGGCGACGGUUGUCCCGGUUUAAGCGUGUAGGUGUGUGUUCCAGGUAAAUCCGGUUCACUUUAACACUGAGGCGUGACGACGAGGCACUACGGUGCUGAAGCAACAAAUGCCCUGCUUCCAGGAAAAGCCUCUAAGCAUCAGGUAACAUCAAAUCGUACCCCAAACCGACACAGGUGGUCAGGUAGAGAAUACCAAGGCGCUUGAGAGAACUCGGGUGAAGGAACUAGGCAAAAUGGUGCCGUAACUUCGGGAGAAGGCACGCUGACACGUAGGUGAAGUGAUUUACUCAUGGAGCUGAAGUCAGUCGAAGAUACCAGCUGGCUGCAACUGUUUAUUAAAAACACAGCACUGUGCAAACACGAAAGUGGACGUAUACGGUGUGACGCCUGCCCGGUGCCGGAAGGUUAAUUGAUGGGGUCAGCGCAAGCGAAGCUCCUGAUCGAAGCCCCGGUAAACGGCGGCCGUAACUAUAACGGUCCUAAGGUAGCGAAAUUCCUUGUCGGGUAAGUUCCGACCUGCACGAAUGGCGUAAUGAUGGCCAGGCUGUCUCCACCCGAGACUCAGUGAAAUUGAACUCGCUGUGAAGAUGCAGUGUACCCGCGGCAAGACGGAAAGACCCCGUGAACCUUUACUAUAGCUUGACACUGAACAUUGAGCCUUGAUGUGUAGGAUAGGUGGGAGGCUUUGAAGUGUGGACGCCAGUCUGCAUGGAGCCGACCUUGAAAUACCACCCUUUAAUGUUUGAUGUUCUAACGUGGACCCGUUACCCGGGUUGCGGACAGUGUCUGGUGGGUAGUUUGACUGGGGCGGUCUCCUCCUAAAGAGUAACGGAGGAGCACGAAGGUUGGCUAAUCCUGGUCGGACAUCAGGAGGUUAGUGCAAUGGCAUAAGCCAGCUUGACUGCGAGCGUGACGGCGCGAGCAGGUGCGAAAGCAGGUCAUAGUGAUCCGGUGGUUCUGAAUGGAAGGGCCAUCGCUCAACGGAUAAAAGGUACUCCGGGGAUAACAGGCUGAUACCGCCCAAGAGUUCAUAUCGACGGCGGUGUUUGGCACCUCGAUGUCGGCUCAUCACAUCCUGGGGCUGAAGUAGGUCCCAAGGGUAUGGCUGUUCGCCAUUUAAAGUGGUACGCGAGCUGGGUUUAGAACGUCGUGAGACAGUUCGGUCCCUAUCUGCCGUGGGCGCUGGAGAACUGAGGGGGGCUGCUCCUAGUACGAGAGGACCGGAGUGGACGCAUCACUGGUGUUCGGGUUGUCAUGCCAAUGGCACUGCCCGGUAGCUAAAUGCGGAAGAGAUAAGUGCUGAAAGCAUCUAAGCACGAAACUUGCCCCGA
This 2791-nucleotide ribosomal RNA is filed under the name Salmonella enterica. RNAcentral's name for it is "partial 23S ribosomal RNA". It matches the Rfam family "Bacterial large subunit ribosomal RNA". The record is from RNAcentral. RNAcentral also lists the same sequence under 1 other name. Lineage: Bacteria; Pseudomonadati; Pseudomonadota; Gammaproteobacteria; Enterobacterales; Enterobacteriaceae.